CUGGAUAGCUCAGUCGGGUAGAGCGGCAGAUUCUCAAUCUGUUUGUCGCGGGUUCGAUUCCCGCUCCAAGA
This 71-nucleotide transfer RNA is filed under the name Lysobacteraceae bacterium. RNAcentral describes it as "Xanthomonadaceae bacterium tRNA-Glu". It matches the Rfam family "tRNA". From Rfam's summary of the family: Transfer RNA (tRNA) molecules are approximately 80 nucleotides in length. The record is from RNAcentral. Lineage: Bacteria; Pseudomonadati; Pseudomonadota; Gammaproteobacteria; Lysobacterales; Lysobacteraceae.